This 513-nucleotide ribosomal RNA is filed under the name uncultured bacterium. RNAcentral's name for it is "partial 16S ribosomal RNA". It matches the Rfam family "Bacterial small subunit ribosomal RNA", at positions 28 to 507 of the family's 1533-position model. The record is from RNAcentral.
GACGAACGCUGGCGGCGUGCUUAACACAUGCAAGUCGAACGAGAGCGUAGAGAAAGCUUGCUUUUUCUACAAUCUAGUGGCAAACGGGUGAGUAACGCGUAAACAACCUGCCCUACGGAUGGGGACAACAGCUGGAAACGGCUGCUAAUACCGAAUACGUUCCGAAAGUCGCAUGACUAUCGGAAGAAAGGAUGGCCUCUAUUUAUAAGCUAUCGCCGGAGGAGGGGUUUGCGUCUGAUUAGCUAGUUGGAGGGGUAACGGCCCACCAAGGCGACGAUCAGUAGCCGGUCUGAGAGGAUGAACGGCCACAUUGGAACUGGGACACGGUCCAGACUCCUACGGGAGGCAGCAGUGGGGAAUCUGCCGCAAUGGGCGAAAGCCUGACGGAGCAACGCCGCGUGAGUGAAGACGGCCUUCGGGUUGUAAAGCUCUGUUAUACGGGACGAAUAAUCUUGUGGUUAAUACCCAUGAGAAGUGACGGUACCGUAAGAGAAAGCCACGGCUAACUACGUG